RNAcentral lists this ribosomal RNA (375 nucleotides) under uncultured bacterium. RNAcentral's name for it is "bacterial SSU rRNA". It matches the Rfam family "Bacterial small subunit ribosomal RNA", at positions 29 to 402 of the family's 1533-position model. The record is from RNAcentral.
AUUGAACGCUGGCGGCAUGCCUUACACAUGCAAGUCGAACGGCAGCACGGGAGCAAUCCUGGUGGCGAGUGGCGAACGGGUGAGUAAUACAUCGGAACGUGCCCAAUAGUGGGGGAUAGCCCGGCGAAAGCCGGAUUAAUACCGCAUACGACCUACGGGUGAAAGCGGGGGAUCGCAAGACCUCGCGCUACUGGAGCGGCCGAUGUCGGAUUAGCUAGUUGGUAGGGGAAAGGCCUACCAAGGCUACGAUCCGUAGCUGGUCUGAGAGGACGACCAGCCACACUGGGACUGAGACACGGCCCAGACUCCUACGGGAGGCAGCAGGUGGGGUAAUUUUGGACAAGUGGGCGCAAGCCUGAUCCAGCCAUGCCGCGU